AAAAAACUCAAAAACAACAUUCAGUCAAAAGCCCAACGCGUUCAGAGGAGAAGAAUCGAAGAGAAGGAGAUCUGUAAUCAUUGAAACUCACCCAUGAUUGAAUCAGAGAAAUAAUUGAAGGAUACGGAACCAUUACAAAUUUUGGUACAGAGCAAUGGGCAUUGGGAUGACAACAACUCAGCACAGGCAGAUUUGCAGCAAUCUGGAAACAACCCGGCAACAACUUCCAAGCAACAACUAUCUGCGCACACAAUUGGAUCAGUUCAAGACGAUACAUUUUUUCUAGGAACAGGGACCGUGACAUCAUAAUCAACCAUACAACAACCAGAAAACAACAAAGAAAAAACUACAGCAAUAGAUGAAUAUAAAAACAACUAAAAAAAAACUCAAUAACAACACAAAAAUAACAUCAACAAA
This is a long non-coding RNA of Cannabis sativa, 417 nucleotides long. RefSeq lists it as uncharacterized. The record is from RefSeq and is a predicted model, not a curated record. NCBI's taxonomy places the organism in Eukaryota, Viridiplantae, Streptophyta, Magnoliopsida, Rosales, Cannabaceae. The transcript is spliced from 2 exons.